AUCACGCGGACGUCAGGCAAAAUCAUAAUGCCGCCCGAAUUCGGCCCAUCCCCCGCCGUGCUGGGCUGCGAUCAAAAGGAAACUGCGUUGACCCGGUCCUUUCGGCACCGGAUUCCUCAGCCCCCAGCCCCCCGGGGUCGUCAGGAUCGGGUCUAACUCUUCGCAGUAAACUGGAUCCCCAAUCCUUCGGCCGGCGCAAGCUGGCCGUUUU
This is a small RNA of Afipia broomeae ATCC 49717, 211 nucleotides long. It matches the Rfam family "Bradyrhizobiaceae sRNA BjrC174". Lineage: Bacteria; Pseudomonadati; Pseudomonadota; Alphaproteobacteria; Hyphomicrobiales; Nitrobacteraceae. The record is from Rfam.